This 3724-nucleotide long non-coding RNA is filed under the name Fukomys damarensis (Damara mole-rat). RNAcentral's name for it is "lncRNA (ENSFDAG00000029611.1)". Lineage: Eukaryota; Metazoa; Chordata; Mammalia; Rodentia; Bathyergidae. The record is from RNAcentral.
AUGGACCAGUCGUGUUCCCUCAGUGGGCUGCAUUGUGCUUUACUCAUUGCUAUGCUUUCCAAAUCAUCUAUCUAUAAUGCCAUUCUUCCAUUCCCUGUAUCCCUAAAUUCCAUUCAUCCUUCAAAGCCCAACACAAGUAACAUCUCUGCUUGGAUGCUUUCCCUGAUACGUUACGAUCUAGAUGUCAAACAUCUGUGCUCUUGUGCAGUCUUUUAUAUACACCAUCCUAGCACUCAGCCUGAUUUAAUAAAACAUUUAUUAAAAUACACACACACACACACACUCACACACACAAUGUGUUUCUUGAAGGCAGAAACCAUAGCUGACUCAUCGUUACACCUCCAGGCACCCAACAGCCAAAAUGAUGGGUUCACCUUCAGCCACAUGCAACGGACAACGGGCCAUCAGAGCUGCCUGAAACAGGAUGCUGAUCAGAUCCAGUUGUAAAGUGGGAGCCUUGGUGUGUGCCUCAGUAUCCGCAGAAGGACCUCCAAACUCCUCUGAAUAUGAGACCAAAGAUCCCCAAACUCUUCCAAGCAUGAGACAAUUCAAGAAAAGACAGCCUGGGGUCAGCUCAACAACCCUCUCCAGCUGUGUGUGUCCCUCUGUGUUCCCACAUUUGGUUCCAUCCCUGUGACCAGGACAUGGCCUGGUAGGUCCUGCUCCAUCAUUUUCCUUCCACUCAGAAUGCUCUUUCUGCCCAUCUUCUGGCCCAAAGCAGAUUUCCCCAUGCCCUGGUGCAAAGGUCCUGCCUGUAAGAAGCUUCCCUCAGCCUCCCCCAUUCCUUGCCUGGGUGACGGUCUCUCUCCCUUGAGCUGCUUCUGCACUUUCUCCUUGAUUCCGUUGCUUUGUGCUGACUAGAUCCUGCCAGACGUCUCUCCCAAGCUGGAGGGAGGCCCAUCAAAGGCAGCAUCGAGGCAGCCACUGCCACACCUCUGCCUAGGCAAAGCCUUCCCCACCUGAAUGGGGUCUGCGGAUCAGGGUGAGAUCUAGAGAGGUCUCUGAACAUAAAAAUUCAGGCUGAGCAUUCCCCUUGACCUGUAGUAGUGAUGAUCUCCUGCAGGACGGAAGAGGAAGUGGAAUAAAUUACAAAACAUCAGUCUUACCAAAUCUACAUCAGUAAGAUCAUUUUAAAAGGAAAUUGGAUAUGUUCUUAAUUACUAGGUCAGUAGUAAGUUUUAUUUGCAGGGGUGGAAUACUGUUGUGGGAGGAAAUUGAUACAUGACAUGUGGAGAGACAGAAUGGAAGUAAAAUAACAAAAAGUUUAUUUUGUCAACAAAAGGCUGAUCACACUAACAGCAAUGCCAGAGAUUGACCCCUACUGCCUUGCAGCUCCCUCUUUUAUAGGGUUUUACAGCCUUGAUCUCAUUCAGGUGUUGACAUUUCAUUUUCUCAGUUCAUAUUACCAAUAUACAAACCAUGGUCACAAGACAGUUAACUUUCAACCCAGAUGUAGCAAUUCUUUGUAGUUAGGGGAGAGUUAGGGGAACCUUUAAGAUUUGCCUAGCUAUCUAUCCUAGCUCAUAGGACGGGGAUGUUCAGGGUCGGGAAAGCAGAUGUUAACAAAGGUUAUUUUCAUCUUGACACUUUUACAAUCGUGGUUUACAGAACUUUGGGGCUCAGGGUCUUAAUGUGCCCUGUUGUCUCAGGAUGAGACCAGAUGCCUCAUUCAGUGGCUAAUGCCUCUGGUGUCUGUUAAUUCUGAACUCAACAGAGCAAACUGCUAUUAGAGACACCAGAAGCCACACUGCAUUGUGACAUUUUGUAGGUGUUGCUAUUUACAAGAGUUUUCUCUACAAAUACAGUGAAGCAGAGAACUGUCCAGUUGGGGUGCAGUGAAUUCCUGAUCUCGCUAGGCUGGGAACCAACCGGGCCUCACUCCUAUCAGAGAUUUCAGGGCCAACAUGAAGGCAAGUCAGAGGUUGAGUCUGAACUUACCUCACGCAGAGCUUGAAAGCAGCUCAUUUCACAGGCACGAUUUCAUUUUAAAGGUUUGCACCACUGAGACUGAAACCAAAAAACAAACAAAACUAAAUACUGUAGAUUCCAAGGCCCCCUGACUAGGCUUCUUCAGCAAGCUUUUCUAAAAGAAAAAUGCAGGUAAACCACAACAGGAGCCCAAAAACUAACCAGGAAUCCAGAGAGUGAAGGUUUAACCUGAAGCUACUUCGGUGAUGUGGCUUUAUUGGGUCGGAUGUACUUCCCUUACACUUUUAUCUGACGCAGCCCCUAGGCACUGUAGGGAGACCUCCGUGGCUUUCAGCCCCACUUCCAUGAUUAAUUUUCACUCCAUCAUGAGAUGCCUGGCUGGAUCCCUCUGCUUCACACCACAAGUGCAGGCCCCAGGAAAACUUCUUCUCUUUUAAAUCUGAUAUGUCCAUAAAUGGCCCACACUAUGGGUUGAAUUAUGUCCCCUCACCCCCGUGCUGAAGCCCUGAGUUUUGGUCACUCAAAAUGGAGUUGCUGGGAAAUGGGAGGUCACCUUAACAGGGGGCUGUGAGGGGACCCCUGUCCAAAUGAUGGUGCCCUGGUAAGGAGAGGAGAUGGGAGCAGGUGAUGCCUGUGGCAGCCCAGGAGGGCAGCUCCUCACCUGCAGGUCAAGGAGCAGAACCAUGUCAAUCAACUUCCAGCCUCCACAGCCAUGAAAACACUCUUCUGUCCUUUACCAUCUCUGUCUUUGGUAUUUGUUAUGACAGCUCCCAAAAACUAACUAAUAAAGCCCACAAACAGGGACCUCUGAUCCCGAAGCCACCAAUAAAGAGGUCAACUGAACUUGGCCCUGUGCUCAGAUCCAUGCCAUGCAUUUUUACCUGCCCUGUUGGUUCUAAAGAGAAUGUGAAAGGAAGUUUAUUCUUCACUUUUUAAGCUUUACUAAAGUUUGCCCUUUACCAACUUGAGGUUGGAAGGGAGGUUUCUAAGGAAAAACACCAAUGAAUUUCUGAAGUACAGUGUGAGUGCUGGGGAUCCCCGCUAGGGCCACAGGUCAGACCCCUCAGACCACACCGUAAGCCACACAGGGACUGACUCUCCCCGCACCGGCCUGCACCCUCCUGCCUCGGCUUCUCCAGGCUCCACAGGGAACCCAGGCCAAACACUGAUGCCCAGGGAGCUGUAAUGGGAGGCAGAAGGGGUCAAAAGGAAGCCUGCUACUGGUAAGGGCAGGAGAGGGAAGGCUUUGCUGGGGGAACCCUGGAUCGGCUGUGCAUGCACAUUGCCUGGCACCCGCACCCCAACCCAGUUGCACUCCCCGCAUCAGCCUGGCCUCCACCCAGAUGCAGCUCCUGGCUCUGAUUCUGCUUCCCAAGGCCCCAUCUGCCCAGUAAGUCAGCUCCGUCUUCCCUUCUGCUCCCUCCCCUUCUAAGCAAUGCGUCCUGUAUCCAUGGAAACAACUUCUAGAUUCAAGCGGAUUAGGUGGAAGUCUUGGCAGGAAAGAGGAAGACCGAGGAAGAGGACAGACAGUGGGGCAGUGACUUUGCUUCCUUUAAUCCCUUCUGCCUUUUGUGCUUUCCUUUGCAUAACACACAAACACACACACAGUUUUCUUUUUGUUAGAAACUGCUAGUCAUAGCCUACGUGUGAAAACAUUGUGAUCAAUUUCUUUCACAUACUUAAUGUAUAAGAAAUGCAAUCAUAAAAAUAAAAAUGUAUGAGGUGGUUUAGCUGGGAUUGAUAAGCAUGCCAGUAAUCCCAAAAUUCUGGGAGGCUGAGGCAGGAGGAUUGGGAA